This 457-nucleotide ribosomal RNA is filed under the name uncultured bacterium. RNAcentral's name for it is "bacterial SSU rRNA". It matches the Rfam family "Bacterial small subunit ribosomal RNA", at positions 30 to 482 of the family's 1533-position model. The record is from RNAcentral.
AUUGAACGCUGGCGGCAUGCCUUACACAUGCAAGUCGAGCGGAUGAGUGGAGCUUGCUCCAUGAUUCAGCGGCGGACGGGUGAGUAAUGCCUAGGAAUCUGCCUAGUGGUGGGGGAUAACGUUCGGAAACGGACGCUAAUACCGCAUACGUCCUACGGGAGAAAGCGGGGGAUCUUCGGACCUCGCGCCAUUAGAUGAGCCUAGGUCGGAUUAGCUAGUUGGUGAGGUAAUGGCUCACCAAGGCGACGAUCCGUAACUGGUCUGAGAGGAUGAUCAGUCACACUGGAACUGAGACACGGUCCAGACUCCUACGGGAGGCAGCAGUGGGGAAUAUUGGACAAUGGCGAAAGCCUGAUCCAGCCAUGCCGCGUGUGUGAAGAAGGUCUUCGGAUUGUAAAGCACUUUAAGUUGGGAGGAAGGGCAGUAAGUUAAUACCUUGCUGUUUUGACGUUACAAC